UACAGAGGUCCCAAGCGUUGUUCGGAUUUACUGGGCGUACAGGGAGCGUAGGCGGUUGGAUAAGCCCUCCGUGAAAUCUCCAGGCUUAACCUGGAAAGUGCAGAGGGGACUGUUCAGCUAGAGGAUGGGAGAGGAGCGCGGAAUUCCCGGUGUAGCGGUGAAAUGCGUAGAUAUCGAGAGGAACACCAGAGGUGAAGACGGGUUGCUGGGCCGACACUGACGCUGACAGCGCGAAAGCCAGGGGAGCAAACGGG
This 254-nucleotide ribosomal RNA is filed under the name uncultured bacterium. RNAcentral describes it as "partial 16S ribosomal RNA". It matches the Rfam family "Bacterial small subunit ribosomal RNA", at positions 524 to 776 of the family's 1533-position model. The record is from RNAcentral.